This is a non-coding RNA of Schistosoma rodhaini, 45 nucleotides long. Lineage: Eukaryota; Metazoa; Platyhelminthes; Trematoda; Strigeidida; Schistosomatidae. The record is from Rfam.
AUUCAGCUGACGAGUCCUAAAUAGGACGAAAUGAGCUUCCUGGAU